AGAAGCCCCCUGCUACCUUCCCCAUCACUCAGGAGAUGCCCCUUCUGAGAAGGGAAGCUUGAAGAACAAAGGACCCCACCAAGGCGCCGCUCCCCCUCCAGACUCCCACUGAAGCCUCUUCCUCCUACUGCCCUGCCCCAAACAUGAUUGUGCCCAAGGCCUGCCUUGCUUGCAGCCUUCCCUUGCUGAUGCUGCCCCUUCCUUGUGCUGCGAUCCCUGCUGACUCGCUCAGCCUCAAGUCUUCCGCUAACAAAGGCCUCCUCUUCUGAGUGUCUCCAGCUGCCUUGAAGUCACUUCUAAAUUCUCCAACUACUGUGAUGGACCAGAAUCGAUCCAGUGAGCGAUUGGAGCCCUGGGACAGGGGAAUGGCGGUGAUGUCUAGGAGGUCGCCGGAGACGUAGGCAUGGGAAUUAGGAGAGCGGGCAGCCCGAUGGAUUGGGGAUCUCCCUAGAGGGGCCUGGCACAGUGCUAACCAAGCCCUGGGGACCCGAAGACAAGACCAAAGAAUCUUUGCUGGCAAAGAGCGCCCACUUUACCAGCUGUGGGAGUGGAGAACAACGAGAGGGAAGAACGGAAGCCAGCAGAAGUUGGGGGGAGAAGAGCGAGAUGGCCACAGAGGUUUCCUGAAGCUCUUGGACAUUGCCAUUGCUGUAACGCCGGACCUUUCCCAACGAGAAAGGGCUUGUGACUUUUUACACAAUCGUGAACCGUCUCCCCAGGGACACUGCAGGAGAGCUCUUCUUCCCUGUGGGCUCUCUGAGGCAGGUUCAGUGGCCUUAGACCUCCUGCCAAGCCGGAACUAGCCGCUAAGCUCAUUUCUUCGAAUUCAGUCCUGUGUCCUGGACGGAGGGGGGUGAGCAGUGGUCAGAAUCUGCCUUCCCGGCGCCUUUCUUUUGCCCAGUAAGUGAAUUUGCGUCUUCAGUCCUAAGAAAGGGACCUUCCCCGAAUGCAUGUUCUCAGCCAUCGCUACCCCCACAAAAGGAUGAGUCAGGGAGGAGGCAUCUCCAGAGAUCCUCGGGAU
This 1021-nucleotide long non-coding RNA is filed under the name Monodelphis domestica (gray short-tailed opossum). RNAcentral describes it as "lncRNA (ENSMODG00000049463.1)". Lineage: Eukaryota; Metazoa; Chordata; Mammalia; Didelphimorphia; Didelphidae. The record is from RNAcentral.